UACCUGUCUGCAAUCUUGAAGCGAAUGGCACACUGUAGUUUCCUGAGGCAGAUGGGACA
Molecule: microRNA precursor, 59 nt
Organism: Ictalurus punctatus (channel catfish)
Lineage: Eukaryota; Metazoa; Chordata; Actinopteri; Siluriformes; Ictaluridae
Source: Ensembl